UACGAGGGGAGCUAGCGUUGUUCGGAAUUACUGGGCGUAAAGGGCGUGUAGGCGGUAUCAUAAGUCAGAUGUGAAAGCCCUAGGCUUAACCUAGGAGGUGCAUUUGAUACUGUGAAACUAGAGAUCGAGAGAGGAAAGUGGAAUUACGAGUGUAGAGGUGAAAUUCGUAGAUAUUCGUAAGAACACCGAUGGCGAAGGCAGCUUUCUGGCUCGAUACUGACGCUAAGGCGCGAAAGCGUGGGGAGCAAACAGG
This 253-nucleotide ribosomal RNA is filed under the name uncultured bacterium. Its description in RNAcentral is "partial 16S ribosomal RNA". It matches the Rfam family "Bacterial small subunit ribosomal RNA", at positions 524 to 776 of the family's 1533-position model. The record is from RNAcentral.